GCAACGGUGCGCGUCUCGAGGUUUUACCGGAUCCCGUCCGCUCUCCGUUAGUCAAACUGGCAAGGGGCAGAUUAGUAGUUGGGUCGGUGACGACCAGCGAACACCGGCUGCUGUAUGUU
This 119-nucleotide ribosomal RNA is filed under the name Hirsutella minnesotensis 3608. The record is from RNAcentral. Lineage: Eukaryota; Fungi; Ascomycota; Sordariomycetes; Hypocreales; Ophiocordycipitaceae.